UGAGGAAUAUUGGUCAAUGGACGCAAGUCUGAACCAGCCAAGUAGCGUGCAGGAUGACGGCCCUAUGGGUUGUAAACUGCUUUUAUAUGGGGAUAAAGUGGGGAACGUGUUCCCUUUUGCAGGUACCAUAUGAAUAAGGACCGGUUAAUUCCGUGCCAGCAGCCGCGGUAAUACGGAAGGUUCGGGCGUUAUCCGGAUUUAUUGGGUUUAAAGGGAGCGUAGGCCGUUUGGUAAGCGUGUUGUGAAAUGUAGGAGCUCAACUUCUAGAUUGCAGCGCGAACUGUCAGACUUGAGUGCGCACAACGUAGGCGGAAUUCAUGGUGUAGCGGUGAAAUGCUUAGAUAUCAUGACGAACUCCGAUUGCGAAGGCAGCUUACGGGAGCGCAACUGACGCUAAAGCUCGAAGGUGCGGGUAUCGAACAGG
RNAcentral lists this ribosomal RNA (424 nucleotides) under Verrucomicrobiota bacterium. Its description in RNAcentral is "Verrucomicrobia bacterium partial 16S ribosomal RNA". It matches the Rfam family "Bacterial small subunit ribosomal RNA", at positions 355 to 776 of the family's 1533-position model. Lineage: Bacteria; Pseudomonadati; Verrucomicrobiota. The record is from RNAcentral.